Molecule: ribosomal RNA, 253 nt
Filed under: uncultured bacterium
Lineage: Bacteria
Description: partial 16S ribosomal RNA
Rfam family: Bacterial small subunit ribosomal RNA
Source: RNAcentral
UACGUAGGGAGCGAGCGUUAUCCGGAUUUAUUGGGUGUAAAGGGUGCGUAGAUGGAUAUGCAAGUUGGUUGUGAAAUACCUCGGCUUAACUGAGGAACUGCAACCAAAACUGUAAAUCUUGAGUACUGGAGGGGAAAGCGGAAUUCCUAGUGUAGCGGUGAAAUGCGUAGAUAUUAGGAAGAACACCGGUGGCGAAGGCGGCUUUCUGGACAGAAACUGACAUUGAGGCACGAAAGUGUGGGGAGCAAACAGG